This 254-nucleotide ribosomal RNA is filed under the name uncultured bacterium. RNAcentral's name for it is "partial 16S ribosomal RNA". It matches the Rfam family "Bacterial small subunit ribosomal RNA", at positions 524 to 776 of the family's 1533-position model. The record is from RNAcentral.
UACGGGGGAUGCAAGCGUUAUCCGGAUUUAUUGGGUUUAAAGGGUGCGUAGGCUGUGAGGUAAGUCAGCGGUGAAAUGCCCCCGCUCAACGGGGUGAAGUGCCAUUGAUACUGCCUUGCUGGAAUGCGGAUGCCGUGGGAGGAAUGUGUGGUGUAGCGGUGAAAUGCAUAGAUAUCACACAGAACACCGAUCGCGAAGGCAUCUCACGAAUCCGCUAUUGACGCUGAUGCACGAAAGCGUGGGUAUCAAACAGG